CGCAGGAAAAGAAACUAACCAGGAUUCCCUUAGUAGCGGCGAGCGAAGCGGGAAGAGCCCAAUAUGAAAAGCCCUUGUGGCGUUGUAUUUUGGACGUCCUUGAGGUGUCAGUUCAGGAAAGUGUGCAUGAAAAUGCCCGCCGCGGAGGGUUAGAGCCCCGUCCAUCCUGGACACGACAUCCUCGUACACGGGCGUUUCAGUCGAGUCGGGUAGCUUGGGAAUGCUGCCCUAAGAGGUGAUAAAUCUCAUCUAAGGCUAAAUACUGGUGGGAGACCGAUAGCGAACAAGUACCGUGAGGGAAAGUUGACAAGCACUUUGAAAAGAGGGUGAAAAGAACCUGAAACCGUUACGGUGGAAGCGGAUUGCGUUAUAAAUUGUGAGCGGGUAUCGUUCAGCCAGAUUUAUUUGGUGCACUCGAUGCUGCGGCUCUGCCGUCGUGGGUUCCCGGUGGUCGAAUUUGGGCUGCUGGGGGCUGAGGGAUCCCUUUUAUAGGUUGAGGACGACGGAGGUGUGACGCGAUACGACCCGUCUUGAAACACGGACCAAGGAGUCUAGCGUAGCUGCGAGUCAAAGGGUGGUGAAACCUGAGGGCGCAGUGAAAGCGAAUUGUGAAAACGUUUUGCAGUUUGAGGCGGCAUAUGAUCGUUGAUCGUAAGUCCGACCUAGAGCAGUUAUGCUAGGACCCGAAAGAUGGUGAACUAUGCCGGAGUAGGGCGAAGCCAGAGGAAACUCUGGUGGAGGCUCGUAGCGGUGCUGACGUGCAAAUCGCUCGUCGAACUCGGGUAUAGGGGCGAAAGACUAAUCGAACCAUCUAGUAGCUGGUUUCCUCCGAAGUUUCUCUCAGGAUAGCAGGCCGAGGGGUGGUUGUUGUGUGCGGUAAAGCGAAUGAUUAGCGUAUUUGGGGGCGUUUAGCCUUCAGACGAUUCUCAAACUUUAAAUGCGCACGGAUGUUGCUGCUUUUGUGAGCGACAUCGUUAAAAACCUCGGCUUUGUGGGCCAAUUUUGGUAAGCAGAACUGGCGAUACGGGAUGAACCGUAAGUGUGGUUAAGGCGCCAAAUUAUCCGCUUAAAGAUCCCAAAAAAGGUGUUGAUUCAUCUAGACAGCAGGACGGUGGCCAUGGAAGUCGGAAUCCGCUAAGGAGUGUGUAACAACUCACCUGCCGAAUGAAUUAGCCCUGAAAAUGGAUGGCGCUGAAGCGGGUAGCCGACACCACGCCGUUUGAACGAGUUUUGUUUCAAAUGAGUAGGAGGACGUGGCGGUCGUAUCGAAGCGUACGUGCAAACGUGCGUGGAACGGCCGCUAGUGCAGAUCUUGGUGCUAGUAGCAAAUAUUCAAACGAGAACCUUGAAGGGCGAAGCGGGGAAGGGUUCCACGCGAACAUUGAUUGGGCGUGGGUGAGUCGUUCCUAAGCCACGUGGCAAUAGCUAAUUAUCGGCGAAAGGGAAGCAGGUUGACAUUCCUGCACACGGAUGUGGAGGCGGUGACGCAUUAUUGGGGCGAUGACGCUGGCGGUGGCGCUGGGCAGAGUUUUCUUUUCUGUUCGACCGUUCUGAGCGCGCUGUGUGGAAUCCGCUUGUCGGGAGAUACACGCGUGUCCGGGCAGAGCGCAGGGGUUUUUCCUGCGUCUAGCUCGCCACCGACGGCCCUUGAAAAAUCGCUUGCUGGGUAGUUCGCCAUUUUUGGCGGUGCUAUUGUAAUAAAAUCCACGCCGUGACGUACCGAUAACCGCAUCAGGUCCCCAAGGUGAACAGCCUCUGCUCGAUAUGAACAAUGCAGGUAAGGGAAGUCGGCAAAUUGGACCCGUAACUUUGGGAAAAGGGUUGGCUCUAGUGCUGCGUGGGAGUGGUUGCUAUGGUUCGGCGGUUGACCUGCCAGCUCGAUUGCGGGGUGGAGCAAUCUGCCCUGUGGUUGGGCAGGUGGGGAGGCAGCUGGCCGUAGCGACGCCCACAGCAUGCAGCAAACUAGAACUGCAACGGGCAAAGGGAAUCCGACUGUUUAAUUAAAACAAAGCAUUGCGAAGGCCGUGGCCGGUGAUGACGCAAU
RNAcentral lists this ribosomal RNA (2044 nucleotides) under Polyneuropsis stolonifera. Its description in RNAcentral is "eukaryotic LSU rRNA". It matches the Rfam family "Eukaryotic large subunit ribosomal RNA", at positions 51 to 2190 of the family's 3401-position model. The record is from RNAcentral. Lineage: Eukaryota; Rhodophyta; Florideophyceae; Ceramiales; Delesseriaceae.